This 478-nucleotide ribosomal RNA is filed under the name uncultured bacterium. Its description in RNAcentral is "partial 16S ribosomal RNA". It matches the Rfam family "Bacterial small subunit ribosomal RNA", at positions 28 to 507 of the family's 1533-position model. The record is from RNAcentral.
GAUGAACGCUGGCGGCGUGCUUAACACAUGCAAGUCGAACGAGAAGUGAAGACGGAUGCCUUCGGGCGGAAGGCUGUAUUUCGAGUGGCGGACGGGUGAGUAACGCUUGGGUAUUCUGCCUCAUACAGGGGGAUAACAGUUGGAAACGACUGUUAAUACCGCAUAAGACCACGGCAGCGCAUGGUGCGGGGGUAGAAACUCCGGUGGUAUGGGCUGGACCCGCGUUCGGUUAGCCAGUGGGCGGGGUAACGGCCCACCAAAGCGACGAUCGAUAGCCGGGCUGCGAGGAGGACCGGCCACAUUGGAAAUGAGACCCGGACCAAACUCCUACGGGAGGCAGCAGUGGGGAAUAAUGCACAAUGGGGGAAGCCCUGAUGGAGCGACGCCGCGUGAGUGAAGAAGUAUUUCGGUAUGUAAAGCUCUAUCAGCAGGGAAGAGAAUGACGGUACCUGAGUAAGAAGCCCCGGCUAACUACGUG